RNAcentral lists this ribosomal RNA (307 nucleotides) under uncultured bacterium. RNAcentral's name for it is "bacterial SSU rRNA". It matches the Rfam family "Bacterial small subunit ribosomal RNA", at positions 28 to 334 of the family's 1533-position model. The record is from RNAcentral.
GACGAACGCUGGCGGCGUGCCUAACACAUGCAAGUCGAACGGGAGCAAGUGCUUCGGUAUUUGCUUUAGUGGCGAACGGGUGAGUAACGCGUGAAUAACCUGCCUUUCAGUGGGGGACAACAGUCGGAACGACUGCUAAUACCGCAUAAGCCCACGGAACCGCAUGGUUCUGGGGGAAAAGAGCAAUUCGCUUUGAGAUGGCCUCGCGUCCGAUUAGCUGGUUGGUGAGGUAACGGCCCACCAAGGCGACGAUCGGUAGCCGGUCUGAGAGGAUGAACGGCCACAUUGGGACUGAGAUACGGCCCAG